GAACAAAAAAUUGUAUUUAUCUAGUGAAUAGAAUAUAGUAAAAAAAAAAAAGAAUUUAUUAAUAUUGGAUUUG
This 73-nucleotide transfer RNA is filed under the name Pueraria imbricata. Its description in RNAcentral is "tRNA-Glu". Lineage: Eukaryota; Viridiplantae; Streptophyta; Magnoliopsida; Fabales; Fabaceae. The record is from RNAcentral.